GCGAAGGGAGGGACGAGGAAAGGCGGCGGGUGGCUUCAGGACAAGCUGUGAGAUAUCGGUGGGCGAGGAUGUGAUGCCUGAAGAUGUGGCAUCUACCUUGAAACAGUCAAGGACCUGAGGAUGAAGCCAGCAUCUGAGGAAGACAGACAGAAAGGAUCUGGAUACAUCAUGAGCCUGAAAAGUAUCUUGCAUACACAACUGGCAGCACAGAAUCCUGACAAACCUCUCAUCAGAAAUCAACCACAGACUCUUUAUGCUCUUACCAAAAUGCUGGCUUUGAGAACUAAUUAUGAAUGAAAAUUACUGAUGUGAUUUUCAGUCCACAGGGCCUGAAAAUUGCUUCCAGCAACUGACAAGUUCAUCCCCUUCCAACUGGUCUGACAAGCCCUGAGGAAGGAGGAAGACAGUGAUAUCCACCCCCCGCUGCCCCUACCUCCUUAACUGUAAAAUUGUCCAUCUCAUCUUGAACUAUCCAGAAACCAACAUGGGACUACACAAAACCACUACUUGAAGUCAGCACCAAAAGAGUUGUCUGUGGAAAAUGGUUGACCAGGGUCAACGUUAUUUAUAGAUGUGCAACAAACUGCCUACCUUCUAGUCUUCAAUUAUCUGCAUAUGUAUAGGAGAUGUUGGAAAUUUGUUUUUGGACUGAUUCUUUGAAGCCUUACCUCCUUGCAUAGUCCUGAUAGAAUAACAAAUUAGGUUCCCAAUAUUGAGUGAGAAGAGUGGGUUUCAGGAGUCAUUCACACACUGCAUUCUGCCUUCCAGAGGCAGUGGGAGGCAAGAAUAAGAGAAGUAUCAUGGGCUUUGGGGUUAGCCAGGACUACACCCAAAUUUCUGCUGGCCUUGGUACUAGCUGGGUCCUAGAGUAUGACACGUUCCCUGUUAAGUGUUUUUGUUUGUUUGUUUGUUCUUUUUUUUUUUUUUUUGUCUGAUCUGGUAGCCUGCAGUAAAUUGUUAUUUCCUUGGCCUUAGGAUUUAUAGCCUGUGACCAGUUACCAGAUUAUCUCACCACUGAAGGCCUAGAUAGUACUGUGUAUAAUGAAAGCAAGUAAGGUUAUUAACACUUGAAGCUUUUUAACCAUAGUAUUUCUCAGUUCAAAGCAAAGAAACCCAUCCACCUAUUUAUUUUUGCAUGACUAGUAUAGAUAUCUAUAAUAUUGAGAGGACGUUCCAGCUUGGCUUCCUGGGUCAAGUAGGGGCUCAGAAAGCUGUGAAACUCACUCAUUUCCUGCAUCAGGACUUAUUUCGGUCCUGGAUGAAUAAUAUUGAAGAUAUAUGCUUAAAAUAUUCCUAACACCAGGAUUUGUGCAUGUGUUUUCUUCCCCAAGAAACCUAUAAACAGCAAAAAUUUUGCUGUAAGUUUCCCUGUGUCCUCUCUCCCUCUCUCUCUUCCCCCUCCCCUAAAACUAAAAGGAACGUUAAAUGCCCAUUUUCUGCUGGACCUUAUCUAUGCUCCUAAUUCCAAUUCCUUGUAAACAUGCUUUGUAAAGUCCUGUGAGAUCCUGUCUCCUUUGCCAUGCCGCUGCAAGGUCAUAAAGUAGAUAAAACCUAAGUUGCAAUUCCAGUUUUCCUCAA
Homo sapiens (human) is the source of this 1578-nucleotide long non-coding RNA. Ensembl annotates it as ST3GAL6 antisense RNA 1. Its record names the gene ST3GAL6-AS1. Lineage: Eukaryota; Metazoa; Chordata; Mammalia; Primates; Hominidae. The record is from Ensembl.